This 301-nucleotide ribosomal RNA is filed under the name uncultured bacterium. Its description in RNAcentral is "partial 16S ribosomal RNA". It matches the Rfam family "Bacterial small subunit ribosomal RNA", at positions 509 to 809 of the family's 1533-position model. The record is from RNAcentral.
CAGUAGCCGCGGUAAUACGUAGGUGGCGAGCGUUGUCCGGAAUCAUUGGGCGUAAAGGGAGCGCAGGCGGGCAUGUAAGUCUUUCUUAAAAGUGCGGGGCUCAACCCCGUGAUGGGAAAGAGACUACAUGUCUUGAGUACAGGAGAGGAAAGCGGAAUUCCCAGUGUAGCGGUGAAAUGCGUAGAUAUUGGGAGGAACACCAGUGGCGAAGGCGGCUUUCUGGACUGCAACUGACGCUGAGGCUCGAAAGCCAGGGGAGCGAACGGGAUUAGAGACCCCUGUAGUCCCUGUCUCUUAUACA